CCGGCUAUGGUGUAACGGGUAACACAUGCUUCUCUAAGCGCAAGGCUGGACGUUCGAGUCGUUCUGGUCGGC
Non-coding RNA from Tulasnella calospora MUT 4182, 72 nucleotides. NCBI's taxonomy places the organism in Eukaryota, Fungi, Basidiomycota, Agaricomycetes, Cantharellales, Tulasnellaceae. The record is from the annotation of a GenBank genome assembly.